Molecule: ribosomal RNA, 497 nt
Filed under: uncultured bacterium
Lineage: Bacteria
Description: partial 16S ribosomal RNA
Rfam family: Bacterial small subunit ribosomal RNA (bases 16-379)
Source: RNAcentral
GAUGAACGCUGGCGGCGUGCCUAAUACAUGCAAGUCGAGCGAACGGACGAGAAGCUUGCUUCUCUGAUGUUAGCGGCGGACGGGUGAGUAACACGUGGAUAACCUACCUAUAAGACUGGGAUAACUUCGGGAAACCGUAGCUAAUACCGGAUAAUAUUUUGAACCGCAUGGUUCAAAAGUGAAAGACGGUCUUGCUGUCACUUAUAGAUGGAUCCGCGCUGCAUUAGCUAGUUGGUAAGGUAACGGCUUACCAAGGCAACGAUGCAUAGCCGACCUGAGAGGAAGGACGGCAACACUGGAACUGAGAGGCGGGCGAGAGGCCGACGGGGGGAACAAGGAGGGAAGCGACGGCAACGGGGAAAAGCCUGAAGGAUCAAUGGGGGGGAAAUAAUGAAGGAAUAAGGACCGUAAAACGAGGUAAGUAGAGAAGAACAGAGGUAAAAGUAAGAGUGCACAACGUGACGGUAAGGAAGCAGAAAGCCACGGGUAACGACGUG